Long non-coding RNA from Passer domesticus (house sparrow), 849 nucleotides. RefSeq lists it as uncharacterized. NCBI's taxonomy places the organism in Eukaryota, Metazoa, Chordata, Aves, Passeriformes, Passeridae. The transcript has 3 exons. The record is from RefSeq and is a predicted model, not a curated record.
GGACUGACUGCUGGCUCCUUGUGCUGCUGUGCAACCGCGGGGCUCUGGGACCUCUGUGAUCUCAGAGCCUGCUUGUGACCUCAUGGCCAGGGUGGAGUUGUGUGGAGUGGGUUCUGCUUUCUUUGGAAGGGAGCUCAUCCUGCUCAGCUGCUCUGCCUAAGGGCUGUGACACAGUCCCAGCUCAGCUGAUCUCACAGGUUGGGACAUGAAGGGAUGGAGAGCAGCUCUGCCGAGAAGGACUUGGGGGUACUGCUAGAUGAGAGGUUGGACAUGAGCCAGCCAUGUGCAUCCAAAGGAGAGUGCCCAGCAGGUUGAAGGAGGUGACUCCCCCCCUCUGCUCUGGUGGGACCCCACCUGGAGUACUGUGGAAGAUGUUUUACAGUGACCUCUGUGAACAAUCGAGAAGUUAGAUGCAGCCGGCACCUCAACACAUUCUGACAUCAUCUGGAAAAGCAUGAGAAGAGCUUUCUGCUGGGGAACAGCUUGUUUGAUGAACUUGAUGGCCAUUGUGGCUGGUGUGGCACUGUGCCUGAUGAUGUUCUGUGCUGGAAUCUGGUAUUGCUGGAAGAUAAAACGGUGCUCCUGUGCAUCUUCAGACGACGAACCUAAAAACAGAGGCAAUGAAAUCCUGGCAGUUUAUCCCAGCUCUUCCCUUCUGCCCCUAUCUGCCCCGCCAUGGCUGCAUCACCGUCAUGAGGCCGUCCCAAAACCCACCCCUCCACAACAAGACCCUCUGCCCCUCAGCCCCCUGGUCCUGUUCCCCGGCCAGGACUGAAGGUGGGCAGCCCUUGUCUGCCAGGGCAAAGCUUGGCCCACAUUUUAUGUUGAAAUAAAGAAAUAGAGUUUUCA